ACAUGGAACCUUGCCUCGAAAUUAUUCAAGCAGCACGAGGGCUGGGUUAGAAAGCAAUGAAGCAAUGUGAACGGGGAGCAACGUAGGGUUUGUAGGGGGAGGAAGAGCCAAGGCAACGUCCCUCUCAACACUGCUCCAAAGCCCCCAACAAAUAAAGGCUACUGUUGCUGAUCCCCCAAAGCCGAAGACACUCGUCUUCUAUCAGUCACAUUAACCAAGGUGCUCUUGCCCCCUUGCAUCGCAUAAGAAAAAAGAAACGAGGGACAAGAGGGGACGAUAGAGAGAGAGAGAGAGAGAGCGAGAGUGUGUGGAGAGAGAGAAAGAGACGGCUGGUCAAAUGACAAACUGAUUGAGAACUUUCAAGCACUUUCUCUCUCCACCCCGCUUUAAAAACACAGCCUUGUCUACAGUGCAGUAGCAAACUGCAGUUUUUGGUCUCAAAGCACCACACCCUCUCGUCCAUCUCCUUGGCUUUCAUUUUUUGUUUCCCUUCAGCUGGACGCUUCUUGUUCCGCUUUCUUCUCCUUAGCUGCAAUACCAUGUAAAGUUCUAUACCAUCCUUUAAACUUCUCUUACCUAUUCUCGUUUGAUGAUGAAGAACCAUGAUGAGUUGGGUGCAGGAGACUAGAAGGGAACCCGCUAGACCUCAAUAGCUUGCCAGAGGAACAUGGUAAGCAACCGCUAGAGGAAAGCUCGAUGACUACUGCAGCUUCCGCUGACAUUACGCGUAAGUAGGAAUCGACAAGGAAGAAAGUUUAAGCAGUGAUGUGAUCUAGAUUGGAACAUUUGUCUAAUGAGGACUGAGAAAUUGAAUACAACAGAGGGGGGAAAGAACAAAAACAGAGAGAAAGAAAAGUUAUUGCCAUUAUUACUCGCCACCUAACCUGAUCCAAAGAUUGCAGGGUUCAAGAAAAAGAAGAGUGCAGUCAAGGAUGAUUCGGCAAAGGUGUAUGAGUGUCGUUUUUGCUCCCUCAAGUUCUGCAAAUCUCAAGCGCUGGGCGGGCACAUGAACCGGCAUCGCCAAGGCAAGACGAUGACCGCAUAGUAGUGUUGUUGCACCAUAGAAAGCGUUGAUGUGACAUUGUUGAUGAGUAUCUUCUUUUUACCACUUCUUCCCCCAUUCCCGACACUAGCAGCGCCUACUGACUCAUGUUCCCAUUUUCAACUCUUUCGUUAGAGAGGGAGACGGAGACGCUCAAUCGUGCUCGUCAGCUGGUGUUCAGCAACGACGGUGCCAUCGGGUAUGUGCUGUCUCCUCUCAUUCUAUCCUUCCUCUCUUAGCAUGAGUAAGCUAGGGUUUUCAUUCUAUCUACGUGCAACACCUCUUUUCCUCCUUCAGUAGUAGUAGUACAUUGGUAGGCUGCAACGUAAUAUCAUCUUAUAUGGCACAGUUUAGGGCUAAAGAUGUCUCCUUUCCUUGAUUCAAAAACAUUGGCAUACCACUGAUCUUGUUCGUCCCUUGAAUAAUAAAAGCUUGAGGGAUCCUAGUACUGGAGGCUCACAAAUCCCUCCUGGGGGCUUCCAACAUAGAGGCGGCAGCAUCGGAGAAGCAUGUGUGCAAUUCCAACCCGUCUACCCAGGUCUCCCAAACCCGCCACCAGUGUCACAGUACCUGCACCCUUCCUCCUCCUCACGCUCGCUUCCGCAUCCACCGGCCUACCAACCUCCUCAUCCGCAUUACUACAUCGGUCAUGUCAUCUCAGGGAGUUCCCAACGCCAGCCGCGUCACCACGGCUAUAGUCCUGAUCCCAGCUUUACUUGCUAUGGAGCUCCAGUUUCUCAUAGCUUCCCCCCCGUGGAAGAAGGACGAGCACCAACAGUCAGAGGCAACCAACUCAGAUGAGAGCGUAACUGGGAUCGUAGUUAGGGACGUGUCCACCAUAACUUGCAUUGUUGAGUGAACCGUCAGCACCAGGAAUGGCCUUAACUUAUACAUCUUAAUUUGAUGGAAAGAAAAUGUCACGAAGAAUGACAACCUAAGUGAAAAGUUGUGUGGUUCAUGUGCUGUUUCUCUAACUUGCGUCUUGGUUUUUGACACUGAAGGCUGUGAAACAAGGGGUUGAUGUUAACUUCCAUGGCGGCACUGUUCUCUCUCUCUCUCUCUCUCUCUCUCCAGUUUGGUCAACUUACGAUGUGAUGCAGUUGUUAGAUGAAGGUUUGUUGGGACAAUAGGAGAAAUGGCCUAGAGAAUGAAGGCCGCAAGAGUUCCAACCCACUUGUGUAUUAUUAUUAUUAUUUAACUCCCUUGCCUUUUUAGUUUUUCGAGCAUGGCUUGUCCAAGCUUAAUUCUCCUAAGAGUUUGUGGGUGCUACCGGACACUUUAAUCGGUGAACAAAGGUUUACCAAAUAGGUGAUAAGGGCAAAGCCACCUACCCUAUACUUGCAGCUUGAGCAGUCUGUCGACACAUCCUACCAAGAAACCAAACCAAACGAGAUAAUGGUAACAAAGGAUAGCUUCUCCGUCUUCUCUACUACUGCAAGGCACGUGACCACUAGAAUCCAGGUCCCAAAUCAAUUUACUAUUGAAAAGAUGUCAUGAUUAUGGAUUGGAGGAUUCCUGCUUCGACUACAUGAAAAUUUUCGAUGAUAUCGGUCGGCUAGAGAGUUUAUCUUUUGGGCUACCUGCCUUUGUUGCCCAAUGCAGAGGCUCCCACCAAUAAGGGUGGUCAACGUUAGUAUGCAAUCCUUUCUUUUCUAAGACAUAAACAUGUUAUUUCUGCGGAUCGAACCUUUUGUUGCCAAAGUCACAUGGGAAUAACUUUCCCAUUGCACUAAAACUCCCCCUCCUUAUCUCAACUAGAUAAUUUGUUUCAUUAAACAAUUUAAUACUUCAAAUUUUCACCAGCCUAUCAAUCAAUCAAAAUUUUUCCUAUGUCAUCUUUUGGAUUGGAAGGACCUCAUGCAAAAUCCAAUGGGACACCAAAACCUGUCUGUUUGCGACCUACAGCAACUGAUGCGAGCGAACACAUGAUUUUGCAUAUAAGGCAAACAAUCAGUAGUUCAGGGAACUCUUAACAGAAAGCUAGAGGAUAUUUCGGAUCAUAAAUAAAAAGUACAACUUCAACUUCAACUACAGAAAGUUGAGACUUCACAGUAAAUAACUAACAAAAAAAUUUUAAAAAUAACCUUUUGAAGAAUGCAUGCAUUUACUUUUAUCCUACAAAGCUAAGGAAUAACUAAAUCAGCACAAUAGCUCAUGAGCUUCAAUUUAAAUGCACCAAACGCUUUUAGACACGUAUAAGAAUGCAUGCAGCAGUAUCUUCACCUAAUUCUAUGAAUAACCAAAAUGGAUUUCUUUAAAAGACUAUUAUUAACCUUUUAGCUCAAAAGCUGUAAUGCUCAGCCAAAUUAGACGGACAAAUAAGACCUUUGGCUUUCGGUCUAAUUGGAGUUCAAUUGUUUCUACUUCUUUUCCACAAGUAGAUACGGUCUAAUCUCGGUGUUAGCUUUAACUUCUACCAUAUGCAUGCUAGCAGACACUAAUAUUAUGUCACUGACCCACGAUGAAAACACAAGUGCUACUAUGAAAUGACAUUGGGAAAAAUGAAGAAUUAGCUUACUUGCAUAGCCAACAAGCUGCAACAAACUGUACACUGCUAUUCAUCGAUGAUUUCUGCACAGGAAAAAUGGCCAUUCGUUUAGAAAUUUCAGACCAAUUUCAUCUUGCUUUUGCGGUCUCAUUUUUUUUAUUAGACGAAGGAUAAACAAUAUGCAAAUACUGUUGCAACAGCGGAAGUGAAACUGUCAGAUGUUAUUAAAACCAUGGUAUAAAUUUGUUCCUCAAAUGGUGAACUUUUCGGAGCUUGUAACAGAAUAUGAUAAAAAAGAUGAAUUUGUUCCUCAAAAAAGGUUUCCAUUUUUUAUUAUUCUUUCAUGUUCAACAAGGAUGUGAUAUAUCAUGACAUUAUAUGAUGGAAGGACUGAUGCAUUAAUCUGAUAGGCCUGAAAUUAUAUGACUCAAAAUGCCUAAAUUCAACUUAAUCAUAAUAAACUUAAGUAGCUCCAUGUAAUAAUCAUGUCCAUCUUCUUCCCACUCGAUCAGAUAAUACAAUCUCCUCCACUAAAGGUUUGAGGUCCUUGACACAGCUCAAACCAAUGUGAAGUCUAGAAUCAUCCUAGUAGGGUAUGUGAGGUUUAGUCCACUGGUGGCCGCGUGCUAUGAUAAAUGACAAGACUUCACAUUUGGUGCCUAAGAGGAGGCUUGAUCAUACCAAUGCUACAUGCACUUCAGAAAGAGAAGAAAUAGCUCACAAUAAAUAAUAAGGUCGUAUGGUUUACGUAUGGCUCUGGUCUGUCCUGACAUAGAGCUGUUACACUGCAGCUUAAGAUCUGACAAGAUGAUCUAUGAAUACUUUUGACAUGGCAAUGACAAAGAUUUUGUGAUCAAAUAAUGCACAGAUCAUAUUCAUGUAGACCUAAUCAUGUACUCUUUAAACAGAGUAAUCAUUCUGACAGGUGUCACAAUGAGCUUCAAGUGUCGUCUCAUCAGAUUCAUCUUCAAGUGGAGAAUGAAAUCAGUGGAAACUUCACGUCAAAAAAAUGAAAUCCGUCCGCUAAAGGCAUAUGUCUCAUCCGAGCUUGCUUUCAUCUCAUAUAAAAGUUGAUCACUAAAGUAUCGAAAUCAGCCACAUCGGGUGGAACUUUUAGUGGCAGAAAGACCUGAAAGAAGAAACAUUUACUGGUUCUGCUCUAGCUGUAAUGCUGGGGGCCAACAAGACUUUGCAUAGGCUAAAUCAAUAUAUAUAUAUAUAAAGGUAAUUGAGUUCUGUUUAGCCCAUUUAACCUAUAGUUGCAUUACCCUUAUAGUUGAAACCAUUGCAAAUAAAUAGUACUUCACUAGUUACAAGUAUGUCUUAUCUAAAACAUGACUUAGACUAAGUCAAUCCACUGAGGUAGAGCUAUAGAUUAGAACCCUUAAUCCCUACCACUAAAAGAGUCAUCUUGAGCAUGCUAUGCUGUGACAAAAAUAGAAGAAUGUGAAAAACAGGAUGAGAAGGAGCAGAGGAAACAUGGGUAUGCACUCUUUCAUUACCCUUUCUUCAUUUCAGCGUAUACAUUUAUUUUCCUUGUGACAAAUUGGCCAGCACCAGGCAGCAUACUGGUAGUACCCGCAUAUAGAACUAAGGGAUGCAUUAACAUUAAGACAAUCUUUGUUAACCAAUUUAGAUAUAUCAAUUCAUUCAAUAUAUCUCAAUUGAAAAGAAAAAGAAGUUGUGCACAAGAAAGAAAGUUGAGAACCAAUUUAGAACAAAACUUACUUCUGUGUUUAAGAUACUCUUCCUAUGGAGGAAUCUUUUUUGGUCUAACGAUCCGAUUGACGUAGUGAGACAAAGAAAAUAUCAGGUCUAAGUGAAGGCCCUCUUGUCCAAAACCUCAUUUAAGAGAGAAAGAAAUUUGUGUGAUUUCAAAUCCAGGCUCGUCUGGGAUUUCGUCAUUAAAAAAAGGAUCUGGUUACUGUUUUAACAUUAAGCAUGUCAAACCAGGUCAACUAAAUUUGGUUCUGGGCUGGGGACAAGUCACAUGUUGUUCCAUGCUAUUUUCUUGAGGAACUGCAGAUUGCUUAUUACUGUUAAUUUUACAAAAUUUGGUCUUGGGUCCUAUUAAUUAAGGCUAUCCAAUUAUGUAGAUCAAUGCCAUACAUCAUAUUUCAACAAAAUCAAGUUCAGUUUGGGUCAUCCAAAAUAACCAUGUUUGAUGUCUGACAAGAAAUGUGUUCAAAGUCUAGGUUGAAUCCAGAUAUGUUUUUGGCAGUAGUAAAACUUUACAAAGUUUUUCAAACCCAAUCCCAAUCUGGACCUGGUUUUUUGCCAUCUACUCUUCUUGUCUGGAAUCAAGAUUGAAAGUGAUUUGUGAUUGAUGUUUUACCGAAUUAUCCUCAUAUAUCAUCCAUCAUUCAGUUCCUAAAUUGCAAAAUCUAUUAUAUAAUCAACCUAGAAGUGAUCCACUUAUCAAUCUAGAAAAUGUCAAAAACCCAUGUCCUAAAUUUGCAAAACAAAGUAGAAAAAUCAUGCAAAUUCUAGUGUUAUAUGGUUCUUGCCUUUACAAACGAUUCAUGGAUUGUUAGCUAAUGAACACCUUUACAAAGGAGCAUAGAAAAUCACCAACAAAAAGUAAAAGAACAAAAACUGAUUAAUCGAAACAAAGAUGUCAAACACUCAAUUCAUGGACUGCCAAAUAGCACAUUUCUAUUAGCCCAGGAAUGUGUGUAACGAUCUGGUGAUACACGCUACAUAAACAUUAUUUCAACAGCUAAUUCAAGAAACCCAAACCCUAAAAGAAGUGUGACAAAUAUCUAAACAUCAACGCAAAUUCAAGAAUUGCCGAUAUGUUUUCCAUAGUUAGAAGAAUUUGAAGUUAAUUGAAGUCGAUAAACACAUAUUUGGGAUCAUCAGAUUGAUGAUUGAGGAGUUGUCAAGCAAAAUACGAUCGUUUUAGUCCGAUCGCGAAAUCAGGAUAAUGGUAUUCCCAUUUCCAAGCUCGCUCUUUCCAAACCGAAGAAUUCGAUGAAAUUAUGUAAUGGUGCACUCCAAUUUCCUUUUUUAUUUUCUUCUUUUUGUUCCGAACAAGCUGAAAGCCCAGAAUUUGAGAUGAAAUGUCAUUCUGACAUUAAGAACGAAUUGAUAAUAUGAAGCAUGAAUUGGAGUGGCGAAGCAUAUGGUAUAGCAUCCCUUAUCACGAACAAUGAAGCUAACGAUUUCCCAUUUCGAAUAGAAAAUACACGGAUCAAACCAAAGAACGAGAGAGGUAAUUCUCCUACCGACCUGGAACAAGCGGCCGUCGGUUCCCGGCAAGCGGGUCCUCGAAGGCGUGGCAGAAACCUCGGCGCUCGCCGGCCUCCCCACGAAUACAUGAUACAUCCUCUCCGUGAGCCGCCCGCGCACACUCCUCAAGAACACUUCCGUCUCCAUCCCCAUCACCACAGGUCUCCCGAAUCGAUUCUCUCUCCCCCCGUUCUCCCCUGGGCUUGCUCUUCUUGUUGGUCGGUUCCUCCAACCCAACAACCUGAGGUCGAUUCUUUUCCAACGGCGCAGGGCGGCAAAAGACACGUGGCGGUCGCUGGAUGCGGAUCAUCUCCAACUACACAUAUACUCGAAGUGGCAAUUCCCGUGCCACGGUGGCCUCUGAUUUGGGCCCCACACCUAAUCACCAGAGGAGAUAUCAGCAGUUGUUCCACCAAUUCUGGCCCCACCGCGAGCCACGGCAAUUGGCAUCAUCGAUGUUAUAUAUAUAUAUAUAUAUAUAUAUAUAUAUAUAUAUAUAUAUAUAUAUAUAUAUAUAUAUACAAUGAGUUCAUUUAGAGCAUCCAUUAUAUUUAUGUGAAGUUUUAUUUGCUCAUUAACAUAACUUAGUCACUUCACAUACAAAUAAAUAAAUAACAUGCGGAAAAUUGGCACCACCAACUGGUAUUCAGGGAAGUUUCUCUAUAUUAUACCAAACUCCUUUACAUCGCUAUAGCAUCCAUGAUAUGCUUGCAUCGCAUCCAACCAGAGAACAGAGGAAUCCUUGUGUGAGACACCAGUGACUAUAUUAUAUACAAACACUACACAUAUGUGACCCACGAGCACAGCUUUGGGUUACGGGCAUCGAGUAUAUUCCCCCUCCUGCACAAAGAUUACAUGGCCAGGCAUGAUGUCCCCAUGGAUAUCUUAAACUAUCUUCAGCGCCAUAAUCCCCUGUUUUAACUGAUGAGGAGAAGGUAAUGCAUGAGCCAGAACAAGUUCUCUUUUUUUGUGUGUGUGUGUGUGUGUGUGUUCCAAAUACCAGUCUUCAGGGAGCCUUAUCCACCCACCACUGAACAUAAAUAAUAAAGUAAAAGAAAGCUAAAGUUGCGCUCGUCUCUUUCCCCCCGUCCCUCGCUUUCAUUCUUGGUCACUUUUGUCUUGCCAUUCGAUGCUCAUGAGGAAAUCCUUCACCUAUCAACUUUUUCUUCCUGACAUGGAACCCAAAUGCUCAAAGCUUCAAGUGAUCACCACAUGUCUACUGUGGUCACCUCUCCGGGUGUAUCUUUACAGUGACAAGAGGGAGGGUGGAAUGCAUAUUCUAGUCAUCAGGCAACCUAAAGCACGGCAGAUUAUACAACACUGCCGACGUUGGAGUCAUUGAACAGGGAAGAAAAGCGGGGAGGAAUCUCUUUGGAUUUUCCCAUCACAUACUCUCACUUUGGUCAUCUUCUCCUCACACCAGUGCAAUUGCUCGUGGCUGAUCUCAUGCAUCCUUAAAGUUCUGGACACAAUCUUCAUGUCUAUUAAGCCCAUCAGUAUCUCCAUCUCUUCCUCUCCCUUUAGCCUGUUCUUUUUCAAACAUCUCCUUGACUUCAACAGAUCCUUAAGCCUCAUCUUCUUCUGAAAGCAUUGUGUCAGCAUUUCAAACAAAGAGAUUAGUUAGCUAUAUAUAUAUAUAUAUAUAUAUAUAUAUAUAUAUAGNNNNNNNNNNNNNNNNNNNNUAUAUAUAUAUAUAUAUAUAUAUAUAUAUAUGACGAGAAAGUGAAAAAAGCAGACGUUAGAUGGGUCACUGCAUGAGUGAGUGGGUACUACUCACCUUUUUAUUAGCUCUUUUGAGCAGACGACGGAGAUUUGGGUCCACCGAGCUGGAUUUUCUCUUGAUGAAUGCUUUAAGAAUUUGGCAAGGAUUCUCUUUGUCUGCCUUGAGGAAGUUCAUAAAGGUUCGAAUGGCAUCCUCCAGAAUCGCCGAGAACUCGGUAGAUGAGAUCAUUUCUUCUUUGCCUUCAUCUGCUUUUGAAUCUUUUAACAUCGCAUUAAUAUUGCAGAGGAACAAAUUAGCACUCGGGGAGAUGUAAAGUGAACACACGAGAGAAGGCAGGAGGCACCUCGGAACUCAGGAACUAGGAGCAAUUUUGGAGAAGAAAUCCUCGUCCGAGCAAAGACUUGGGGCCUCCGGCCACGCUCGUAAGGCUCGUUUUCUAUGAACCGCUGCAACAGGACCUGAAACUGUUGGAACUGCUGCGCCAUCCAUGCGGUGCAAGAAGCGCGUUCACUGUUUGAUCCCUUGGCGCUCCAUUGCAGGAAAUGGUUGUAGUUCCAGUUAAGAGCUUCCCAUGCGAGGCAGAUCUGAGCCACAUAGGCACUCUCCAGUUCUUGAUAUGGAUCCCUAUUUCCCUUCUUCUUGUGUGUCGUAAAUUUGUGAACUAUCCUUCGAGAGACUGAUUUCGGUUGGUACUUCAUUGACCUAAAUGAUUCUGAAAAUUAAGGGAUAUGUAGCCUUAGCCAAUCCAUGGAGGAACAAAGCUACUUAGCAAGUACGUAAAGAUUACAUGAGGAAUGAAUGACCUGUUUCUGUGAGUUUUUGUGCACUGAUCCUGUCGAAAAACGUCAUGUCCUCAUCGUAUUUUCGGAACCAGGUGUAUUUUUCCCAGUUGGAAGAGCUCCUGCGUGAUGAAGAGGAGAAGGGGCAUUCUGUCUCCGAAUCCCUGAUGUUUGUGGAGCUUCUCCACUCCAUCGAGCUCUUCGAUGUCGACUCACUUGUGAGAGAACCACCAGAUGUGUGUUCUUCCAGCUGAAACUUUUUGCUCCCAGGAUGUGUUUGCGCGACGAUGAGGAGUUUCUGUUUCUUUGACGACUCCUCAUUCUGCUCCUCCUCCUCUUCCUUUUCAUUAUUGUGAAAGGCAUCUCCAACACAAUCUUCAUCUGUAAACAGCAUGAGCAUUAUCAAGUAGUGAGACGAGCUAGAAUUGAAGGAAGAGUUGCAUUUCCUGAUGUACCUUCGACAGACCCACAUAUGAUUGGAGUUGGAGAACUUGAUGUUCUUAUGACAUCGCUCACCGGAGAAUCAUCAUUCUCAAGUCCAGGAUUCGAUUGAUCUUCUAAAGGGGAACUGUGCGGCAAUUCUGUGACGAGGCUUUCAUCAACUUUCGAAAGGUGUUCCUGAUCUGUAGAAUCCUGUUCUUCUUCGCCAAGAAGGGUAUCGUUGAAGAUGCUUUCGUUGUAGCAAAAGAACAAUCCUUUUUCCCUGCCGAAGAUGCUGGCAGGUAACUCCUCAUCAUCGGAGUAGCACACAUCGGUUGUGGGCUUGAUCUCAGCUUCAGUGAUGAGCUGAGAACUCCUGCAACAGAAGGUCAGUAGCAAGACAGUAGAGAGAGAGAGAGAGAGAGAGAGAGAGAGAGACGUAGGUACCUUUGGUCUCCGGAAAUGGCUGCUCCUUCAAGAAGAAACGUGAACAGCUUGGUGAGGAGGAAGGAAAUGAGGUGGACGAGGAGGAGGAGGAAGCCGAGGAAGGUGCAGACAUGGAGGAGACACAUCAGGGAUUCCCCUUUGGGGGUUCGGCCAUGGCAAGAGUGAGAAACGGGUUCCCCGGGAGCUUCCAGGGCAAUCACUCGGAGAAAGGCUGGGGGAUGACUGCAGUCAUUCAUUUAUGAGGAGGGCGUGGAAUUUGCUUUGCUUUGCUUUGCUGCGAUCACUUGCUGAGAAGACCACAGUGACGAACUGCUUUAUUUAAGGGAAGUUGGAUGAUACGAACCAAACUCUAAGCUUGACAUGGCCUCUACCUCUUGGGUGCUGCAUUACGUAACCCAAUCCGAUGGACUCGACCAUUACAAGUUACUCCUUCGCGGCCCAAGCAUGCUGCAAGUUGAUUCGUCUCUAAAAUAAAGCAGGCACGCAUCACCGGAGACUCGUGGCACAAAGCUUUUUGGAACUCCGACUAAUUCACGCAAUACAAGUUAGCUUUAUGGCAUUUCCUGCAUUGCUUUUUGCCAACUUUUGAUCCACGUAUAUCUCAUCAAUCUGCUGCAGAAAAGCCUCAGAAAUAGAGUUCAAAGGACUCGAGAAUCUGCAAGCGACAGCAACACUGGUGUCCAACCCACAUACCAAGACGCAGGGGAAGGUGUGGCGCCACAUCGGAGUGACGUGGAGGCAGAGGAAUGGGUUGCACGUGUCACUGGGAUCCUCCAUGAUCUCAGGAAAACUGGAGGCAGAGGAAUCAGGCCAUAAAUAACGGUCCCACAACCUGACACUCUAUUUUAUGGCUGCAUUGGUAUCGACAAAUGCGAGAUCUAAUAGGAACGCAAGUGCUUUUUCUGUUCUGUUUCUUGUUUCUUUUUGUGCUUACCACUUCGGUAAAGGAAUAAGCCGCUUGUUGUGCUUCGUACUGUGCUUCUGAGAGUGACAGGAUUCGCGGUCUUUACUCUUUCGCCUCUAUCUACCCUCAGGAUUCAUUCUUCCCAGAUCGACAUCUGAAGGAUCGGAGUGCGAUACGUAUAAUGGAGGUAGAACAGAUGAACUAAACGGGAUGAUAGACUGGGUGGGCACGUUGUGAGCGCUUAUUGAUGCUUGGAAAUCUUCUUGGGAUACAUCAUGUGCACCAUCUAUCUCUGCGGAUAGAUACGUCGGUGGUGAUGAACAAACGAAGCAACCAACGGCUCAACGAUGACUUCCGCCGUACGGCGCCGACAGUCUCGCCCUGGGAUGAAGGCGAAACCAGACUCCGGUGGAGGUCGCAUGGAAGCCCACAGCGCAUGGAGGGAUUUCCUGUGUUCGAGAAGCACUAGUCAUUUUACCGGGAUACAAUCCAUCAUACCAAAAUGUUUGCUGUUCCUCUUCGAGAAACCUACGGCUCCUCACCUUCGAAUGCCUGCCUUUAAUACUCCACCCCUCCCCAUCCGUUCUCAAGCCAUCCUCUUCCUCCACCCACAAACUCUGUUUGGCCAUUCUAAAGCAGUAGCAUUACAGAAAGACAGAGGAGAGGGUCUGUUAUUGAUACCGAUAUUUACAUAGAGACGCCGAGACAGAUAAGGAUGAGCUGUAAUGGGUGCCGGGUGCUGAGGAAGGGAUGCAGCGAUGGAUGCACCAUCCGCCCUUGCCUGCAGUGGAUCAAGAGCCCCGAGGCCCAGGCCAAUGCAACGCUCUUCCUCGCCAAGUUUUAUGGACGCGCCGGCCUCCUCAACCUCAUGGACGCCGGCCCGCAAAACCUCCGCCCCGGUAUAUACAUACAUCUAUAUCCAUGCACGUCUGCCACUCCUUUGUUUUCAGUACGAGGACAAGGAUUGCUAAUGUCGUCACCGUUGUUUCGGUUCAGCCAUUUUCCGGUCUCUGCUGUAUGAGGCAUGCGGCCGGAUCAUAAACCCGAUCUAUGGUGCCGCCGGCUUGCUCUGUUCCGGCACCUGGUAGCUUUGUCAAGCGGCUGUCGAUGCUGUUCUCAAGGGAGCACCCAUCGCCCAAGCCGCCUCUUCUUCUGCCUCUGCCUCCGCCGCAUGUGUGUCACAUGUGCCACCACUCAUAUAAUUGACUUGCAAGACACAUAUGACUAGCAAAAUUCUCUUGUCUUGUUGAGUUAGGUUAGGAAAGAUUUUAGUAUAAAUUGUUAUGGUUUAAACUUAUGUAAUUAUAGAUUAGGCAAGCGAUGAAUUGGUGGUCGGAAGUCCAACUAAGAGUUUGGGCUAGACUGAUUCUAGAAGAAUUAGGAUCGGUGUGUUUGGCAUUAGAGCGUUCGACAUGAUUAGACUCCGUAUGUCCAUUUGGCCCAUUGGGUUCUUUAUGGUUUAGCUCGGAUGGUCUUACAAAGUUUUCUUGAGACAUAUUGAUAGUCCUCCUUCUAGCACUAAUUUAUUAGUGUAUGUUCUAAUUAUCUGAUCUGGGAUGAUGAUUCAAAUUCAACCGAGGCUCGUUCCAAGUCAAUCUCAAUUCAUGUCAAAGUUAAAAAGACGUUAUGGACAUAUGCUCAUCCGAUGAUCAAAAUUAGUUUUUGGGUUUGAUUCGAUCAAACUAAUCGAUCAAUACUGAAGCAAAGCAAUGUAUGUCGGAGCAUAUCUGGGUCCUUCUUCUUUUGUGUGACCUUGAAAUCGAUUACUCUCAGAAUCGUUGAUGAUGGGAGGGAAUACGUGGUAUUUCGGGCGAACUAACAUCAUUCAAACCUGGCAUCCAUAGACUAAUCACAUCAAUCAUAGGGUUCAUAUGGUCGAUCGUUUGGCCACGUACCACCACCCGUGAUCUAACUGUCGCAUAAUCCUUGUGACCUUCGACGAUAGCCCCGUCGACUAUGACGACAUUGUGUGUGACACAUGACUCUUCACCUAUCAGUACCAAAGCACAAAAGCCAUUUGUAGCGUCAUCGUUCUGCCAAACUCGAAACAAGGAACAGCGGUUGAAUGCUUAUUUCUGCACGCAUCGACAGUUGAGCCGUCGUCAAUUUGUGCUGCGCAUCCUAUCCUAUCAAGGAGACCUUCACGUCUUUGACAUAUUAUUCCCCGUGGGAUAUAUAGCAUUCAAAAUGGUGCUGUAAAUACCGACUGUGUAAGUUGUUGUUUUAUGAUUAAGAUACCUCCUAUAUUUGCUGGUUCUCAACUCCGUUAAGCAGUUUGAGAAACAUGCCUUUUUUUACCUCAUCCCUGCGGGAGGAUGCCUCUGGCUUUUCUCUCCUUUCUGCUUGAAUGUAAUGUGUCAAACGUGCAUAAAUGGGGUACAACAAACAUCAUGACACAAUGAAGGAGACAAUAGCUUCGAAUAAGAUCGCUCUCACACGAUCUUGAUCUUAGGAGGGUGAGUGCGUCUCGUCCUCGAGAUGUUAGUCAACGAACAAGGAGGAAAUCCGGUGAUACGUCGGAGUGCAAUUGAACAGGAAACAACAUUGGUUGUGAUACAGUGGCCUUUGCUGCCCGGUCUUCUCAGGCAAAAACAUGAUGUGUGUGUGUGUGUGUGUUUCUUGUUAUCGUCCGUCAAGUGAUUGAAAUCUUAGUUACAUAAAAAAAACAAUCAUUUCACGAGCAGCUGCUGCUUCUCUGAAUAAUUUCAUAAAGCUUUUGGUGAACUUCGAUUGCAAUUCUUUCGAUUUAAUCCUACAUCGGAAGCGAGCAAGGAUUUGAAUUGAUUUAUAAGGUUCUAUGGUUGCUUGGGAAUUGAUUACAACGCAAAGUGUGGAUUGACAUAAAUAGAAAGAUAAUACAGGGGGGCGUUUCCACCCCUCAUAAUAAUGGUUCCUUUUGCCACAGGAGAGUCGACAUGACGACAAAAUGUAUUCGAUCCACAUAUAAUUGCUGUAAGAGUUCCUAACCAAUACUAGUCGUGAUGGGAUUGCAUCGCAUAUAUGGAUGAGACUCGAAUCGAAUGACAAGGAAGCAUGGGGAUGAGAACUCGUGGAGGCAGUGACUGAACAUGAUACGUUCUCCUGUCACCGACGAAGGGAUGAAGAAGCAAUUUGGAUCUCACAUCCUAUCCUACUCCUCUCAACAAUCAUUCCUCUUCCUCCUCCGUCGAUUCGUUAACAUUGCAACGUAAGAAAGAACAGCUGAACUGUAAACCUAUAGCUCUAUACUCGACGAGAGUUUCUGAACCAGAAUCAAGCAGAGCAACAGAGGAGGCUCUCUGCCGGUGACCUCGUUAACGGACAGAAACUGGCAUAGAUUCGAGGCAUGGCAUCGACUCUAACCCGGUCCGGUAAUUUUCAGGUGGAAUUAAUCGAUAACAGUAGGAGGAGGAGAAGUGAGGGCCACCACUCGUUCAUGUUCAUGGAGAUAAGGUAAGCCACUGCAGACAUGUGGCUCGUGAGGAAGGAUGGCAAACGAUAAGGAUGGCAUCCGCGCCCCCUCGUUAAUGUGUGGUGCUCAGGGUUUGUGCGAUGUCGCCUUCUGGAGAACCAACGUACAAGAUGAGCCACAGGAUGGUAAAUAUCAGGAGGGAAGGCGCGGUGGUGUUGUAUGUAUAUAUAGGGCCGGAGUUGGGAGUGGUGAGGCCUCACGGCGACGAGUCUUCUUCUUGAUCUCGGGUCGAAUUAGGUGAGUGUCAGAAAGAGGAAUCAACGAUGGUUUCCUCCAUGAUGGUCUCCUCGGCUGCCACCUUCACCCGGGCUUCCCCGGCUCAAUCCAGCAUGGUGGCGCCGUUCACCGGCCUCAAGUCCGCCUCCGCCUUCCCUGUCACCAGGAAGCCCAACGCCGACCUCUCCCACCUCCCCAGCAAUGGCGGCCGAGUUCAGUGCAUGAAGGUACGCACGUACAAGGCUCGUGGCUCGAGUCGGAAACCUCUGUUACCGAGAUAGCCGUUACGAAUCAUAUACUGUGGAUGUAAUUCUUACGACAGGUGUGGCCGAUCGAGGGCAUGAAGAAGUUUGAGACCCUGUCCUACCUUCCGACACUGAAGGACGAGGAGUUGCUGAAGCAGAUCGAGUACCUUCUCCGCUCCAAAUGGAUUCCCUGCUUGGAGUUCUGCCCCGUAAGUAACUUCACCUGCCCCAUGGUGGGCAUCCGGUAACCUUGAUAUCCAGCAUGCAUACCGGGGAUUGAAGUCGAUCGUAAUGACCAUAACAGAAAGGGUUCGUGUGGCGCGAGAACCACCGGUCGCCGGGGUACUACGACGGGCGGUACUGGACCAUGUGGAAGCUGCCCAUGUUCGGGUGCACCGACGCUGUGCAGGUGGCGAAGGAGGUGGAGGAGUGCAAGAAGGAGUACCCCCACGCCUUCAUCCGCAUCAUCGGCUUCGACAACAACCGCCAGGUGCAGUGCAUCAGUUUCAUCGCCUACAAGCCGACCGGCUACUAGACGAUUCGGAUCCGGCUCUUCGGAUUUGCUUUCUUUGGUUCAGUGUUGGAUGUUUCCCCUUCUCUCGUUGUCUCCUCUACGCAACCGCCGACAGUGCAGCAGCGCACUGAGGCCGUCUAUGUUUUGUUUCCCCAAGAACGCGGAGCUUGUAUGUUAAGAAGUUUAUUAUGGACGUUCGCUUAUUUAUAAUAAAGGCUACCCAAUGUGUUUGAUUUUACCUGUAUCCGUCUGCUGUGGGUGGAAGAAUCCCGUACCGUAGUCGGCAGACGUGUGGUGUGGGGGUUGAAGCUUUGCUCUGGCCCAACCUAAUGUUAUCUGGGCUCUGUAUUGGGCCGAUCUCGGCCUACUUGGACGAUCAACCGCUGGGUCAACGGUCAAACACCGCGCGCAUGUCUUCUUCUUCUCCCUCCCCUACUAAUUUAAUGGAAAUAGAUAUAUGGACCCCCAAAAAAAAAAAAAAAAAAAUGUCAUCAUCUCGCAUCCGACGCACCAACAAACGCGCCGUGGCAAAAGCAGUACGAGAGGUUUCCUAUCGUCGUCGGUCGUGAAGAGUAGCAAAGUAGAUCGAGCCCAAGCGAGGAACGUCACGUGCGAGCAUAAUUCGUGUCGGCCCUUCGCUCGUGGUGGGGUACCGCCGCGGUGCCCGGUACCGUGUCGGAUGAUGUAUAUUAAUGAAGCCAACCGUGUGUGAUAUCUCAACUCAUGCUGUAAUCACCGUUUGAAUAGUUUGAUGAACGGUGUCCAUAUCCACAGCAUGCGUGACACAUUUGGUACCUACCCAUUAAAAUACAAUACCAUUCAGAGCACUCUCUCGAUUUAUUUUACUUUUUCUAUUAUUCUUCUUCUUCUUCUUCUUUUUUUCCUUUGGAUAAAUCCUCCUCCGACUCCCUUCUUCCCCAUUCCUAUCUCCUUCCCCUCUUCGGAUUCUCUCUCUCUCUCUCUCUCUCUCUCUCUAGUAGGGAGGCGGAUAAGGUACAUAAAAAUCCGGUCUUUGCCUCCUGCGCUUCUUUUUCUUCCCUUCUUCUUCGAUUCUGAGGGGUGAUCGGCUUCUUUUGUGGGAGAUCCCUCUCGUGGUGUCGCGCGCCGGUGGUUUUCCAAACAGAGUCGGGAUUUUUACUGGUUUUUGGAGUUUUCCUUCUUCUCGAAAUUUCGCACCCUCCUGCUUUUAUGGGAAACAGUGAAAUGUUCAAACUUGCCUGCAAAUACGUCCGAGUUUUCGUAGCUGCGGCGUUGUUUCUACCGGAUUCAAACGGAGAAAACCGCUUUUCUUGUUGGCUAAUUUAGUUGUCACGACAGGCGUUGCCAUCGUAAAGAUUGGGCGAACAUGAACCGCUGCGCGAUGCAACAGAACCCUUUCGCCGCCUACGAAGAGAUGAGGACCGCUUUCGCCGCCGCGGAAAGGAAGCCCCCUGUCUUCUGCCCGAAGCCCCGGCGGCUCAGCCCGCCCGCUGGCGUCGCCGAUCCGAUCUGGCCCCUCCGUUGGCACUCGAGGUUGACAUAUAUAACAACCCCUCCUCUGCUACGACACCGCAAAAGUUUCCCCUUUUCGUGUAUCUGAUUCCACCUCUCUCUGUCUCUCUCUUCUGCUCUUCUCAGUCGUCAAGCAGAUUUCUCCGAUUCGAACGCCGUGGCGGACCUUCUUGACAUCUUGCUCGCAAAGGUGAGAUUUUUUGUUGACGUUGUAAUAACAUGUGUAUUUGAUGUAGCUGAUACCGAAGAAAAUAGAUCUGGAAAACCUCUGUUAUUGACGUCUAUUAUCACGAUUUGUUCGCAGGAUGGUGAAGAACAGAACCGAGAGGCUUCUUCGCCGCCCUUCUUCUGCGGCUCGCCUCCAGACCGUGCGGCAAACCCGGUCGUCCAUGACGCCCGUUUCGGCGAGGACCGUCCGCCGCUGGCGCCGUUCGCCCCUGUGCAACCGACCCAGUCCGUCACGCCGAUGUCCCCCAAGCACGCCAAGUUCGGGCUCCUGCCGGCGGCCGUGCGGGUCGAGGGUUUUGAUUGCCUCGAUCGCGGCUGCAGCAGCAUCGCUGCUGUGGCCUGAACGCCCGCAUGCGCCUCCGAGCUUUCUUUUGGAGCGCGGUGAGAGGAAGAGUGAGAGGAAGGGAGAAUUGACAUCAACAAAUCAAAGAAACCAGCUGUAGGAGAAGAACAAGUUGGUAAUCUGGGAAUGCGUUUUGGCUCUCCAUGUAAACUGUACAUCUUACUAGUGGUGCACCAAUGUUGUGUACUAUUUGUGUGGGAGAAUUGUAUGUAGAUAUCAAAAUAAGGAAGAUAGAGAGUUAGGAGGAGGAGGAGAAGGAAAGCCAAGUUUUUUUGUGUUUUGUUUUGAUCCAUAUGGACGGUAAGAGGUUCUAUUUCAUCCUGUGCUGAAAUAUUCAUCAUCUUGUAUAGAACUCUUAGGAGGAAAUCCUCGAAUCAUGAAAUUGUGUAUCUAUUCAUCAUGUAUAAAAUUUUGUAUUCCUUUUCCUCUCUAUGUUUAUGGUGCCUCUUGGAGCUCUCGAGACGGUGGUGUUGCGAUUGAUGUGGCUGCCACCAGCGAAAAGAUGUUGCGCUUAGUGUUAAGAGCAUCGUUGGACGGAGAUGACUGGAGACGUGGCUUCGUGUUGGAAUAAUGUCAUCUUAUCAGAGCAGAUAUGGUCAAUAUCGUCGACUGAUACGAGAGGCGAUGGGUAAGGAGGAAGAGGUGGAGGAUAAGAAGGAAAUGGGGGCAGGAGGGCCCAGCAAAAGGGGUGUGAGGUCAUGUCUUCUCCACCGAGCUGUCUCUGUUCAAGUGGCGCUGUCGCGAAGAAAAAAAAUAACGAAGUCCAUGCCACCACCAUUCUUUGAAUUCUCCACAUGUGUUCGUCCGUGAUGACUGACUAAUUCAACAACGGAUGGAUCGACUCCGAGACGGACUAAAUGUUCUGUGCCUAACGAAGGAUGGACACAAGUGGAUAAUGCUUUGACAAAGGUGGCUAAUUGGCACGCGAUUUCCAGGGUCUUCUGUAUGCACAGAGUCAUGAGCUGUAAUAGGCCAAUGUCGUGAACUAUAUAAUAAAUACAUCGAUGGAAGUCAUGAGCAAGUGGGGAAAAGAAAAGCCUCGGCGAUUUCUUUCUACCCGUUGCCGUCCUGCUUUGCGUCCGACCGUCUCAUUCCAUCCCGCAUGAGAUACGGUGCUGUCGGAAGAGAUUCGGACUCGCAUUAGGUUCCGAUCUCUCCGAGCGUUCGUUCAGACACAUCGCCAGGGAAAAGAAAAAGAGUAGUAGAAUCCAUCCAACUUGUGCUUGCCAAAUAAGCAGAUAAGAGGAACGAAGGCUGGGUUCACAAGCAGUCAACGUGGCCACUUUCCACACCACGGCCUUCGUCCGCAGACCAUUCCUCAUCCCAUCCAAGUGAGUCCAAAAUCUCCACUGCUCACCUCAGGCGUGAAUGCAGAUAAAGAGGAAACAAAGCGGACGUGUCCUCUGCGGAACAUGUGGUCCGCCAUGCACGUAUCCCCUGUUACUCUUGGCCUCGGCGAGACGACGUGCCGAUCCAUGGGUGGAAGAGAGACGGAAGGAAUAGGAGAGAUCCCACGACGUGCAAUGUUUCAUCGCCCACCGUGCUGCACUCGCACAUGGUCUGCGGCUUCUCCCCGGCGCAUGGAAACCAAAUAUGGGAUCGGUGGGAGAAACAGGAUCGGAAACCUGUCUCCACGGUACCACUUUCCUUCCGGUACCCAACCGAUGAAGGGAUGCGUAGAGAUCGUAAUCGAAGCAUCUGACUGCAGGAACGCUUAGAGAAUUCACUCGUUGCAAGCACCAUAGCCUCGUCCUCGUACCAUGCCAUUCUCGAUGAAGGAAUCAGAAACUGGGCGAAGCGAAGGACAUGCCACGUAAAGCAGAAGAACAGGGCACAAAGAAAGGAUUCCGGUGGAGAAUAAAGAGGGAGGAGAGUCUGGUCCAUUGCUUUUGUCGACAGAUGGGUAUCGUUUGAGACCCACCUGGAUCGCUAUGGUGAUGAUAGAUAGAUAGAUAGAUUCUUGAUGUUUAUUCUCCCAUCAAAUCAGUAACAGGGAGGAGUGAAACGGAGCGAGAGAGAGGAGGGACAACACAUUUACGGAGAACCUACAUGUGUCGAGACAGGAAAACAAUGACAGGCUACAGGUGGGUUGCGUACACUCAAACCUUUGUCGCCGCAACUGGAUGCGAAUGGGAGCUGUCGGCGAAGCAAGCAAUCGGACCUGAGUUGGCUCACCGCAGAUGCCUAAUGAUUGACGCGGAAAAGGCCAAAUCGAAGAGAUUUGGUUUGCACGAUUGGGGUGUGCAGCCAACUCGGGUUGAGUCACCUGCUGCGGCGCCUUUGAUUAGCUCUUCCUCUGGUGGGGGUGGACGUGUCCACCUGUGGCCAUAAGACCCGCCGCGAGUGGUGGUCAAAACAAAGAAGGCCUUGGGAACGACGGAGGCCGACUUUAACGUGGCAAACGGCUGUGUGCCACCUUUACUGAUGUGCCCAAAUCUUUAACAAAAAUAAAUAUUCGUGGACCGCUGGGGUGCUGAGAGCAUCUGCUUUUUAUAAUACGAAAAGAAAAGCCUGUUCGUACGACAAUCUUACUCUGGCGGAGUGGCUGAAGGAACAUUCCUUUUUCUUCUUAUAUAUAUAAUUACUUUCUUCGUGUUCGUGAGCUCCAACUCAGAAACUUCCCUUCGUUCCUAUCUUUACACAUGUUUGCCUGAAUAGAUGCUUGGAGGUGCUGUCAACGUAAGAACGCUUGAAACUGAUAAAAGGAUGGGGCUCGAUGUCAAACAUCAUAAGAGAAAAACUAGGUCAUGUCGUCUAGGAUUAAUGUUCUUUACGAUUAAGCAUGCGAGUCCUUUCGAAAUCAUGAUCGAGAAAAGUCCAAAAGGAUAAGCUUAGCCAUCGUGUAUCAAUGAUUCUUUACGAUUAGGCAUGCGAGUCCUUUCGAAAUCAUGAUCGAGGAAAGUUCAAAAGGAUAAGCUUAGCCAUCGUGUAUCAAUGGUUGCUCUAAUUUAUGAUCACAUGAGGGGGGUUACCUUACAUGCGUGUCGACUCCAAGUGGUGGCUCACGAUUAGGGUGAGUCAUCGAUCUAAUGCUUGUGUCAUUGUUUUUCCUAUCAACACCUAUAGUUUUUUCUAAUAUCAUCAUAUUUUUAAUAUAUUUUAAAACACUAAUAUCUCCUGAUAAAAGUCUAAUAUACAAAAGAGUAAAAUUAUUUAUUUCAUUAAAUUUUCAUAAUAAAAUAGUAAAAAUGGAUGACAUCUUUGUUCAAAUUUUUAUCAUAAAAAAUUUUAGAUUCUGAUGCCACUUUUAUAUCCUACGAAGAGUUAGCAUUUUUUAUUUCUUCAUAAUAUUUUUAAUUUUUAUUAGACUGUGUUGAACAAGGAGGUGUUUCAUCCUCCUCUUCUAUUCAAUUAUUGAACACAACUAUUCUUUCCAUUAAAUUUUUAUAAUAAAAAUUAAAAUUUAAUCGAGCUAUUUUUUUAAAAAAAUAAAAAAAAAUAGAUGAGAAAAAGUAAUAGCGACCCCUCCAACCAACCCCUCAGCACACGACAACAUGAACAGACUAGUCUAAACGCAAAAGUAAUAUUGACCCGUUACACUAAUUUGCUUUUGGUGGGUUGUCCGUACGGACAUCGGUGGGUAUAAGGCACGCAGCCCAUGUGGGGGUCGACUGCAGAAAUAACUCCGUCCUCGGCGACGAAGCUGAAGCUGAAGCUGGCAAUUGUUUUCUCAGAAUCAGAAUAUUCAAUCGGCCACCAUAAAUCAAAUGAAUAGGAAGAACAAAAGAAGCACAGACCAGCGGUGGUGGGAAGGUGAAGGUCGUGAUCGUCGCCGUAAAUUUUAAUAGAAACGAGCGAAGAAAAGAAAAUAUUUCGAAAUUGGACAAACAAUGGCUCCUUAAUUUAUUAAGUAGCGACACGCCGGUGACUGUGCGGGAGCGGGAGGAGGAGGUGGAGGUGGAGCUCCGCACGACGGAUUCGCCUCCGACCGCCCCUCCCUCAUUAUUUCGUCUGUCGGUCACGCACGGCUGUGGUCCGCACCUCUCUCUCUCUCUCUCUCAGACACGUGACCCCCCGCUUAUCCGCUCCAAAGCCGCGACGCGAACCGGACGCGCUGCGUCUGCCACGUUGCUGCCGGCCCCUCGUAACGUAGCCACGUGUACUCUUUAGCCGGGUUCGACCCGGCUCGGGUAGCCAUGCCUUUCGAGCGACGACUCGGCCCGUCACGAGUCCUCACACCGCCCCACCCACGACGACGACGACGACAGAUAUAGAUACGUCGCCGAACCCAGUACGUUCCUGCCGUGUCGAAGACGUUUCGGUCCGUGACGCGCCCGUGGCGACCAACAUGCCUAGCGUUAAUAGCGACGGGUGUUACUCCUCUUUCGGCUUAAAAUCACCGGAGUAAACAGAUCCGGAUUCGACGCGUCGAGUUGAUGGCUGCGUGCAUUUAGGGGAAGGUCUGGUGCUCGCACCACGCCUCUUUGAUUCAUUCCAUGCAUGCUUUUGACGGACGCACGCGCCAAUGAACGUCGAGAUUCGCGACGGACAGAAUCGCUGAGUGGGUCCGCCGCGGGGCCUCCAUGUUUGGCCAUUAUUGAUUAUUAGAGGUGGGUAGGCGCGGGCAGCGAUUGGGUUUCCUCGUUUCCUUUUUUUUCUUAUUCCUUCCUUUCCGUGGGCGAUUUGGUUACCACCGCAUCACCCAUCGAGCUGACAAAGAAAGAUAUUGAUGCCCACCCUGAAUAGCCUUUUUCUUUUUUCUAAUCUUUCUUUGGCGCUGUUGAGGUCAAAUAAAAUUAUAUUAACAUCAUGAUCGUUCGUUUACCCGCGGAUGGUGGAUGAUGGCAUGGGAGUUAUCCUACCAAUAUGUUAGCGGCUACGAUUCCUAAUUUAAUCUUCCAAGUUAUCCUACCCCAACAGGAGGUCAAACUCGACAACGAGAGGGAGGAUAACGUCGAACGUUUCUCACCGUUCAAAUCCAGAGGAUAGAGAAGGGAGAAGAAUAAAAAAAACAAAAAAGGAAGAUGCGCCCAAAUCCAGCCGAGCCGAGAAGACCAAGCCAAACCACGUACCGCC
RNAcentral lists this long non-coding RNA (22538 nucleotides) under Musa acuminata (dwarf banana). RNAcentral's name for it is "long non-coding RNA (MACU_LNC001006)". Lineage: Eukaryota; Viridiplantae; Streptophyta; Magnoliopsida; Zingiberales; Musaceae. The record is from RNAcentral.